Long non-coding RNA from Acinonyx jubatus (cheetah), 23134 nucleotides. RefSeq lists it as uncharacterized. Lineage: Eukaryota; Metazoa; Chordata; Mammalia; Carnivora; Felidae. The transcript has 9 exons. The record is from RefSeq and is a predicted model, not a curated record.
CCCCCCCCCCGCCACCGCCUUUGCUCUUCUGCAAUUUGGCCAGGGGCAGUGCUCCAAGCCACUGGGUGUGAACAUGGUGGCAGUCCUGGUAAGAACCACAAUGGAUCACAGAUGAUGGUUGGCCAGCAGGUGGCAGAAGAGGAAUCCCUGCCUUCCUCAAGAGGAACACCUACCCCGUGGCUACUGCUGGGGUCGGAUUUUGAUUUUUAUUUAUUUCUUGGAUUACAGUCCUAUGUAGUUUGAUUAUGUGGUCUGCUAGCAUUAGUUUUAGGCUUUAAGUUACUAUUCUGGAAAUGUAGUUAGGGGCUUUGCUUAUUUGUAGAAUUCAAUUACAUUUAAUGAGUUUUUAUUUUUGAGUUCCUUAAAAUAAGUUAAAAUUUUUAAUUUGUUUUACUAAUUCCUUAAGUUUUUUUUGGCUUUAGAUAUUCAAAUUCAAAUUGCUAUUUAAAAAAUUUUUACUACUUUUUUACUCUGAAAUUGACUUAAUAAACUACAUCUUUUUGGAUUUUGUAAGAGUCUUAUAGUACAGAAGUAGUUAAUUAAAAUUUUAACUUUAUGACCAAAUGUAAUAAGGAAUAUUUGAAGGUCCACUCCAGUCCAGGCCUCGCUUUGUUCCCAUCCUGAAUGCUGCACGAAUUGAGUAAAAACUAUCAUGCAGGAAACUAGACUUACUGUGGACUUGUUUCCUCUAGUGAAACGUUAUAUUUGAGUGUCAAUGCCCAUAAUUUUAAUUUUCUGUGGUGCCUUGCCUCCAUAGUUCCCAUUUCCUCCCCAGCCCUGCUCCCAGCAACCGCCCCCCAAUCUAGCACCAGCCCUUCCCCUGCCCUGUGUCCAGCCCUGCCCCUGCCCUGUGUCCAGCCCUGCCCCAGCCCUAGCUCCAGCUGCCCAGCCCUAUCACCAGCCCUAUCCCUAGCCCCAGCCCCAGCCCGAGUCCCAGCCCCAGCCCCAGCCCCAGCCCCAGCCCCAGCCCCAGCCCCAGCCAUCACCCUAACCCUGCUUCUCCCUAAAGUCACUCCAAUUUGCAUUGAUUUGGUGCUAAAAGUUGUCCAUUGCUCAUCCAUAAGACUGGAAUGACCCUGUGUGCCUCUAGCAUUUGCUGACUUUCCGAGUUGACUACCUGAGUUAUCAUUUUCAAUUAAUGUACACAGUCCCAUUUGUCCACUGUCCCACGUUAGAACAAUCAAUCUGUUCACCUUUGUGUCAAUGUUAGAAAUGUUAGUUAAUUGAGUUUAAUAUCAGAUAACUAUUGUUCAUAAUUUUAGUUACUCAUCAUCUCUAUUCCCUGCCCUUAAGGAAGGAGAAACCAUUCUUCUGUCAUUGCUGCAGUAGUCACAGUCCCCGUUUUCUGGGCAGUGCUCAUAAUAUUGUGCUGGUCACCUGAACUCUACCCUGAGUGAAAUUUUAAUUGUCCUGCCCAUUGGAUUAGAUCCCAGUCCUUUUGCUGAAUUCAGGACUGGGUGCAGAAAACACGAAUCUUUUGUUCAAUAGUUAACAUGCUCAGUCCCAAAUUGUAUUAGCCUUGUCCAUUAAACAAAGGCACCCUACCAUUUUUGUCCUGCUUCUGGGAUGGCCUGCUGUUCUUUGACAAUUAAAGUACCAAACUGUAAUUGUAUGUUGUCUUGCCCAGUAAUCAAUGACCCUUCAUCCCCUUUGCAUUGCCAUUAGGCAGUGCUGACUACCUGGGACCACGUUCCUUGAAUGAUUGAUGAGUAUAAUCCCAAUUGUCCACACCCCUGUUCAUUACACAAGUCCUUUGCAACUCCUUUGCACUAUAGCAGAUGGGCUCAUCUUCAAAGUCCUUUACUUUGGGAUAUUGAUGAAUACAAUCAUUAAUAUUCAAGAUCCUGCCUAAAAGGUAAGACCCACCCAUGCUCUCUUCUCUUUACUCCAGGUAGUGCAGACUACUUACUACCCUGCAUUAAUAUGUAAAAUCCUCAUUGCCCACUGUCCCAACAGUUAGUCUAGGAUAUAACUUUAUCUUUAUGCCAUUGCUUAUGAGGGGUUCUGAUUACCCAAGGUCACUUAAACAGUUGAUGUGCAUAAUUGCAUAUGUCCAUGGUGCUGCGCAAUAAAAAAUGGAAUCCCACCCCGUCCUAACCACUUUGGGAUAUUGCUAGUGAGUGCAGAUUAUUCAGGAACUCAGUUGUUGGACAGUUAAUUUGCACAGUUGGAGUUGUGCAGAGUCCUGUCCAUUUGAAAGAGCCACUGUAUUCCAUUUGCAUACUAUAAUGUGGGCUGAUCACUCAAAGACACUUCUCUUGAAUUGAUAAUUUUCAUAAUUGCAUUGGCACAUGUUCUGUGAACUAGCCACACCCACUCCCUUUGUAUUCUAGCAGGGGACCCUUACUACUCAAGAACAAUACACUAGGAUAUUUUAUGUGUACAAUAUUAAUUGGCUAGACUGAGCCUUUUGUAUCAGGAACCCUGCACCAUCUCUAUAUCUAAAAAGUGCUAAUUAUCUAAGGCUCUUCUCCUAAAAUUGUUCAUGUGCAAAAUUGCAAUCCCCAAUGUCUCCUACUGUUAACCUAAAAUCCCAUUUCCACCUAACUCCCUUUGCAUUAUUGCAGAGGGCACUUGGGUCCUUUAAGGUGCUUAAGGCAGUUAUGGUCCCUUCUGUUAGUCUGGGAUCCCAUCCCCUCCUACUUCCUUUGCAUUACUGCAGAGAAUACUUGGAAACGUUAAUGUGCUUAACUGCAGCGAUAAUUCCUUCCAUUAGUCUAGGAUCCUAUACCCUCCUACUCAUUUUGCAUUAGCACAGAUUGUACAUGGGACUGUUAAUGUGUUCACAUGCAGCUCUGUCCCUUAUGUUAGUGUGUAUGAGUCUAUCCUCUUUAACUCCCUGUGCAUUACAGCAGAGGGUAGUUGGGAUCUUUAAGGCCCUCAAAGGCAGCUAUGGUGCCUUCUGUUAGUCUAAGAUCCCACCCCCUCCUACUUCCUUUGCAUUUCUGCAGAGGAUAUUUGGGACUGCAAUGUGCUUAAUUGCUGCCAGAGUCCUCUGUUUGUCUAGGAUCCCAAUCUCCUCCCUCUUACUGAGUUUGCAUUACACAGAGUACAAGGGACUGUUAAUGUGCCUAAGUGGCAGCUAUCGUCUCUUCUAUUAAUCUAGGUUCCCAUCCCAAUCUAAAUUCUUUUGCAUUACUGCAGAGGGUACUUGGGACUGUUAAUGUGUGUAAUUGUAGUUACAGUCCCUUCUGUUAGAUCCUGUCCUCACCUACUCUCUUUGCAUUAUCAUGAAGGGUACAAUGAGACUGUUAAUGAGCUUAAUUGCAGCUAUAGUUCCUUCUGUUAAUCUAGUUUCCCACUUAUUCCUGCUUUGCAUUAUAGCAAAGGGUACUUGAGACCUUUAAGGUGCUUAAAUGUAGCUAUGACCCCUUCUGUUUAUGUUCCCAUCCCCUCCUACUUUGCAUUACUGCAGAGGAUACUUGGGACUCUAAAUGUGCCCAAUUACUACUUUCCCUUUUCUUUUUCUUUGUCCCAUCCCCUCCCACAGUUUGUAUUAUCAUAGAAGGUACAAGGGACCAUUAAUGUGCUUAGAGGCAGCUAUGGUUUCCCUUGUUAACCUGGGAUCCUGUCCCCACCUAACUUCCUUUUGCAUUAUUGCAAAGGGUACUUUGGACUAUUAAUGUGCUCUAAGGAAGCUGUGUGGUUCCUUAUAUUACUGUAGGAUUCCAUUGUCUCCAACUCCCUAUGCAUUACAGCACAGGGUACUUGGACACUUUAAGAUGCUUAAAUGCAGCUAUAGCCUCUUCUGUUAGUUUUAUACUCCCAUCCCCUCCUAUUUCCUUUGCAUUACUGCAGCAGCUACUUGGGACUGUUAAUGUGCUUCAUUGUAGCUACAAUCUCUUCUAUUAGUCUAGGGUCUCAUCCCUUCUAGUUCCUUUGCAUUAGCACACAAUAUACAUGGGACUGUUAAUUUGCUUAAAUGCAGCUCUGUCCCUUAUGUUAAUGUAGCAUUCCAUCCAACUCCCUAUGCAUUAGAACAGAGGGUACUUGGCACCUUUAAGGUGCUUAAAUGUAGCUGUGGUGCCCCCUGUUAGUCUAGGAUCUCAUACCCCUUCUACUCCCUUUACAUUAAUGGCAGGACAUUUGGGACUGUUAAUGUGCUUAAUUGCAGUUACAAUCCCUUCUAUUAAUCUAGUUAUCCUAUGCCUUCUCACUUCCUCUGCAUUAGAGCAGAUGGAGGAUUUGGGACUGUUAAUGAGCUUAAUGCAGCUAUAGUCCCUUCUGUUAAUCUAGUUUUCCAUGUACUCCUACUUCCUUUGCAUUACAGCAGAGGGUACUUCAGACCUUUAAGGUGCUUAAUUGCAGUCAUGGUCCUGUCUGUUAGUUUAGGAUCUCAUAUCUUUCAACUCCCUUUGUAUUAUCUUUGGGACUGUUAAAGUGCUUAGUUGCAGCUGUGGUCCCUUUUCUUAGUCUAGGGUCCUAUCCCUUGCUACUCACUGCAUUACCUGGGAGUGGAUUUGGGACUAGUAAUGUGCUCAUUUGCAAUUGUGGUCCCUUUGGUUAGUCUGGGGUCCCAUGUCCUCCAACUCCUUCUGCAUACAGCAGAGGCUACUUGGGACUCUUAAUAUGUUUAAUUUUAGCUGUGGUCCCUUUCAGUACUCUAGGAUUCCACACCAUUCUAUUCACUUUGCAUUAGCACACAGUGUAUAUGGGACUGUUAAUGUGCUUAAAGGUAGUUCUGUCCCUUAUGUUAAUGUAGGAUUCCAUCCUUUCCAACUCUCUAUGCAUUAGAGCAGAGGGUACUUGGCACCUUUAAGAUGCUUAUACAUAGCUGUGGUCCCCCCAGUUAGUCUAGGAUCCCAUCCCCCUUCUACUCCCUUUACAUUACAUGGCAGGGCAUUUGGGACUGUUACUGUGCAUAAUUGCACUUACAAUCCCUUCUGUUAGUCUAAGAUCCUAUGCUUUCCCAUUUCCUUUGCAUUAGAACAGAUGGUAUUUGGGACUGUUAAUGAGUUUAAUUGCAGCUAUAGUCUCUUCUGUUAAUCCCAUGCACUCCUACUUUUGUGUUAUAGCAGAGAAUACUUGAGACCUUUAAGGUGCUUAAGAGCAGGUAUGGCCCCUUCUGUUAGUUUAUGUUCCCAUCUCCUCCUACUUCCUUUGCAUUACUGCUGAGGCUACCUGGGACUGUUAAUGUGCCUAACUGCCACUAUAGUCCCUUCUGUUUGUCUAGAUUCUCAUCCUCUUCUACAUGGAUUACAUUACCACAGAGGAUACAAGGGACUGUUAAGGUGCUUAAAUGCAGCUACUGUCUUUUCUGUUAACUCAGGUUCCCAUCCCCACCUAAUUCCCUUUGCAUUAUUGCAGAGGGUACUUGAGACACUAAUGAACUUAUUGUAGCAUUGGUCCCUUCUGUUAGACUGGGAACCCACCCUCACAAACUCCCUUUACAUUUUAAUGGAGAAUACACGGGACUGUUAAUGUGCUUAAAUGCACCCACAGACCCUUAUGUUAAUGUAGGAUUCCAUCCUUGCCAAACCCUCUAUGCACUACAGCAGAGAGUAGUUUCUACCUUCAAGGUGCUUAAAUGUGGCUAUGGCCCCUUCUGUUAGUUUAUGUUCCUGUCCUCUCCUACUUGCUUUGCAUUACUGCAGAGGAUACUUGGGAUGUUAGUGUGCCUAAUUGCUGCUACAAUCCCUUUUGUUAAUCUAGGAUCCUGUCCCAUUCCACACUGUUUGCAUUACCACAGAGGGUACAAGGGAUUGUUAAUGUGCUUAAAUGCAACUAAGAUCUUUCCUGUUAAUCUAGGACCCAAUCCCCACCUAACUCUGCAUUAUUGCAGAGGCUACUUGGGACUGUUAAUGUGCUCUAAUGCAGCUGUGGUCCCUUUUGUUAGAUGAGGAUCCCAUCCCUACCUGCUCCCUUUGCAUUAUCAUGGAGGGUACCUGGGACUGUUAAUGUGCUUAAAUGAAGCCAUGGUCCCUUAAGUUAGUGUAGGAUUUCAUCCUCUCCAACUCCCUGUGCAUUACAACAGAAGGUACUUGAGACUUUUAAGGUGCUUUUAAGCUAUGGUGCUUUCUGUUAGUCUGGGAUCCCAUUACUACCUAACUCCCUUUCAAUUACUGCAGAAGGUACUGGAAAUCUUUAAGAAGCUUAAAUGCAGUUACAACCCCUCUGUUAGUGUUCCCAGCCCCUCCUACUUACACUUUGCAUUGCAGAGGAUACUUGGGACUGUUAAUAUGCCUAAUUGCCACUACAGUCCCAUCUGUUUGUCUAUAAUCCUAGCCCCUCCUAAACGUUUGCAUUUCUACAGGAGGCACAAGGGACAAUUAAGUGCUUAAAUGCAGCUAUGGUGUCUUCUGUUAGUCUAGGAUCCUAUCCUCUACCUACUUACAAAAGGUACAAGGUACUGAUAAUGUGCUUAAGUGCUGCUAUAAUCCCUUCUGUUUGUCUAGGAUCCUGUCCCCUCCUACAGGGUUUGCAAUACCACAAAAAGUACAAGGGGACUGUUUAUGCUUAAAGGCAGCUCUUCUUUCACCUAGGAUUCCAUCCCCACCUAAUGCAUUUGCAUAGUUGCAGAGGGUACUUGGGACUGUUAAUGUGCUUAAAUGCAGCUGUGAUCCCUUAUGUUAAUGUAGGACUAUCCUCUCCAACUCCCUAUGCUUAAUAGCAGAUGGGACCUUCAAAGUGCUUAAGUAUACUUACAGUGCCUUCUGUUAGUCUGGGAUCCCAUCCCCACCUAACUCCCUUUGCAUUACAGCAGAGAGUACUCGAGAUCUUUAAGAUGCUUAAAAUGCAGCUAUGCCCCCUUCUGUUAGUUUAUGUUCCCAUCCCUUCCUACUUUGUAUUACUACAGAGUACACUUGGGACUGUAAAUGUGCCCAAUUACUGCUAUAGUCCCUUCUGUUUGUCUAGGAUCCCAUCCCCUCCUACAGAGUUUACAUUAUCACAGAGUGUACAAGGGAUUGUUAAUAUGCUUAAUUGUAGUUAUAGUCCCUUCUGUUAGACUAGGAUUCCAUCUCCACCUACUCCAUUGCAUUAUCAUGGAGGGUACAUGGUACUGUUAGUGUGCUUGAAUGCAGCUACAGCCCAUAUGUUAGCAUAGGGAUUUCAUCCUCUCCAACUUCCUAUGCAUUAUAACAUAGGGCGUUUGGGACCUUAAAGGUGCUAAAAUGCAGCUAUGGCCCCUUCUAUUAGUUUAUGUUCCCAUUCUCUCCUACUUCCUUUGCAUUACUGCAAAGGAUACUUGGGACUCUUAAUGUAGGUAAUUGGUACUACAGUCCCUUCUGUUAAUCUAAGAUCCCAUUCCCUCCUACUUGCUUUGCAUUACCACAGAGGGUACAAGGGACUGUAAAUAUGCUUCAAUGCGGCUCCUGUCCCUUAUAUUAGUAUAGUAUUCCAUCCUCUCCAAUUCCCUAUGCAUUACAGCAGAGGGUAGUUGGUAUCUUUAAGGUCCUUAAAGGCAGCUAUGGUGCCUUCUAGUAGUGUAGGAUCCUAUCCCCUCCUACUGACUUUGCAUUACUGCAGAGGAUACUUGGGACUGUUAAUGUGCUUCAUUGCCACCAGAGUCCCUUUAAUUUGUCUAGGAUCCCAUCCCCUUCUAUUUGCUUUGCAUUAGCACACAAUGUACAUGGGACUGUUAAUUUGCUUAAAUGCAGCUCUGUCCCUUAUGUUAAUGUAGCAUUCCAUCCAACUCCCUAUGCAUUAGAACAGAGGGAACUUGGCACCUUUAAGGUGCUUAAAUGUAGCUGUGGUGCCCCCUGUUAGUCUAGGAUCCCAUUCCCCUUCUACUCCCUUUACAUUAAUGGCAGGACAUUUGGGACUGUUAAUGUGCUUAAUUGCAGUUACAAUCCCUUCUAUUAAUCUAGUUAUCCUAUGCCUUCUCACUUCCUCUGCAUUAGAGCAGAUGGAGGAUUUGGGACUGUUAAUGAGCUUAAUGCAGCUAUAGUCCCUUCUGUUAAUCUAGUUUUCCAUGUACUCCUACUUCCUUUGCAUUACAGCAGAGGGUACUUCAGACCUUUAAGGUGCUUAAUUGCAGUCAUGGUCCUGUCUGUUAGUUUAGGAUCUCAUAUCUUUCAACUCCCUUUGUAUUAUCUUUGGGACUGUUAAAGUGCUUAGUUGCAGCUGUGGUCCCUUUUCUUAGUCUAGGGUCCUAUCCCUUGCUACUCACUGCAUUACCUGGGAGUGGAUUUGGGACUAGUAAUGUGCUCAUUUGCAAUUGUGGUCCCUUUGGUUAGUCUGGGGUCCCAUGUCCUCCAACUCCUGCAUACAGCAGAGGCUACUUGGGACUCUUAAUAUGUUUAAUUUUAGCUGUGGUCCCAGUAGUUUAGGAUCCUUUGUAUUACCUUUGUAUUAUCAGAUGGUAUUUGGGACUAAAAAAUGCUUAAUUGCAUCUCUGGUCCCUUCUGUUAUAGGAUCCCAAUGUUGUCCAACUCCCUGUGCAUUACAGCAGAGGUCAUUGGGGCUGUUAGUGGGUUUAACUGUAGCUGUGGUCCCUUCUGUUAGUCUAGUAUCCCAAGCCCUCCAACUGCCUUUGUGUUACCUGGGAGUGUAUUUGGGACUCUAAGUUGCUUAAUUGCAGCUGUUGUCUCUUCUGUUAGUAGUUUCCCAUGCCCUCCUAUUAUCUUUACAUUAUAACAGAGGGUCCUUGGGAUUGUUAAAGUGCUUAAUUGCUGCUGUGGUCCCUUCUGUAAUUCCGGGGUCCCAUCCCCUCCUACUCUGUUUACCUGAGAGGAUUUUUGGGACUGUUAAAAGAGACCACAUAAUUAAAUUAGUAUAGUUUCCCAUGCCCUCCUAUUCUCUUUGCAUUACAACAGAUGGUACUUGGGAUUGUUAAAGUGCUUAACUGCAGGUGGGGUCCCCUCUGUUAGUCUAGGAUCUCUUGUCCUUCCCCCUUUACAUUACCGGGAGCAGAUUUGGGAAUGUUAACAUGCUUAUUAAUUACAGUUGUUGUCCCUUCUGUUAAUCUAGUUUCCAGUCCCUUCCAACUGGUUUUCCAUUACCUAGUAACAGAUUUGGGACAAUUAAUAUGCUCAUGUGCAGCUGUGGUCCCUUCUGUUCGUCUAGCAUUCCAUGCCCUCUAACUCCCUUUCCAUUAUAGCAGAGGAUAUUUGGGACUUUUAAUGGCUUAAUUGCAGCCCUGGUCCCUUCUGUUAGUCUAGGAUCCCAUGUUCUCCAACUCACUUUGCAUUACCUGAGAAUGUAUUUGGGACUGUUUAAAUGCUCUAUUGGAGCUGUGGUCCCUUUUGUGUGUCUAGUUUCCCAUGCCCUCCUACUCUUUUGCAUUAUAGCAUUGGAUACUUGGGGCUGUUAAAGUACUUAAUUCCUGGUGUAGUCACUUUUGUUGAUUUAGGAUCCCAUUCCCUUCUACUCCCUUUACAUUAUCUGGGAGGAUUUGGGGGACUUUUAAAGUACUCAUUUGCAGCUGCGGGUCCCCUUUGUUAGUCUAGGAUCCGAUGUCCUCCAACUCCCGUUGCAUUAUAGCAGAUAGUGCUUGGGACUGUAAAUGUGCAUUACAUACAGGUGUGGUCCAUUUUGCUGGUCAUGACCACCUCUUCCCUUUAUAUUACCUGGGAUCAGAUUUGGUACUGAAAGGUGCUUAAUUGCAGCCUGUGUUCCCUUCUGAUUAGGAUUCCACACCUCCAUCUCUAUUUGCAUUACAGCAGGGCGUACUUGGGCCUGUCACAUGCUCUGUUGCAGCUGUGGUACCUUCUGUUUUGUAGGAUCCCAUGCCCAUCAUCUCCUUUUUACAUUAUCUGGGAGUGUAUUUGGAACUUAUAAAGUACUUAAUUUUAGCUGUGGUUCCUUCUGUUCAUAUACUUUUCCAUGCCCUCCUACUGUCUUUGCAUUAUAGCAGAGGGUACUUGGAACUGUUAAAGUGCUUCAUUGCAGCUGUGUCACUUUUGUAGUUUAGGAUCCCAUGACUUCCCAGCCCCUUUACAUUACCUAGAAAGGCAUCUGGGACUGUUAAGGUGCUAACUGCAGCUGUGGUCCCUUCUGUUAGUCUAGGAUCCCAUUCUCUUGUACUCCCUUUGCAAUACUUGGGGAAGGUUUUUUGGGACCAUUAAAGGGCGCUGUUGCAGGUGUGGUCCUUUCUCCUACUGUGAGAUCCAUGCCCUUCAAACUUUGGGUUACUGCUGAGGGCACUUGGUACUAUGAAUGUGCUCAAAUGCAGAUUUGGUCCCUUUUCUUAGUCUCAGAUCUCAUGCCUUCCAACUCCUUGUACAUUAUCAGAGAGGGUGCUUGGGACAGUUUUUAUGCUCAGUUACAACAGUGGUCCCUUUUUUAGUCUAUGAUUUCAUCCCUUGCCUCUCGCCCCUCAACUCCCUUUGCAUUACCACAGAAGGUACUGGAGACUGUUCAGGUGUAUCUCAUUCUCUGACCCCCUGUUAGCAUUAUAGUAAGGGGUGCUGAAUACCAAAACCCCCUUUUUUUUGCAUUGUUAAUGUGCAUAAUUGCAUUUGUUCAUCUUUCUCUGCAGUCGAUAAGAUUUCACUAACUUCCCUUGUAUUCAGCAGUGAAUGCCCUUUAUUCAAGACCUUUGUACUACAAUAAAGUGAACCAUGGUAAUUGACCACACUGUCAUUCAUUUAAGUCCCCCGUACUCUCUGUAUUAAUUACUUUAGUUAUUUUUUGGGGGGAUUAUUUGUAGCAAAAUUCCAGUGUUUAUAGUCCUUCACUUUUAACUAAUUUCCCACCCUUUUUGUAUUGCAUCAGGGGAUGUUAGUAUCUCAAAGUAUUCCUCUUAGGACUCUAAAUGUGCAUAUACCCUCUUGAUAAGCUAAUAUCUUUAUUUCUUAGUAUUAUAGCAGGGGGUACUAACCACCUAAGGUCCUUCUUUUGGACAGUUAAUGUGCCAGAUUGCACAUCCCCAAAUUGGGGAUCCCACCCCCAUCACACCUUCUCUGUGUCAGGCGUGCUGACCAACUAUAACUGCUUCUCCUUUAUAGUUUAAAUGUGCAUAAUUACAGUAACCAAUGGUCCCUUAUGUUAGAAUGGGAUCUCAUUUCCUUGCCCAAUUUACAUUACUGUGGGGGCUUCUGACUAGCCAAGAGUCACUCUCUUGGACUGUUAAUGUGCAUACUUAAAUUCACUCUUAUACCUAGAUAAGGAUUCUCCCCAUACUAUUUAUAUUCCAGCAAGAGGUGCCUACUACUUAAGAUUUUACACACUAAUGCAGUUAAUGUGCACAGCCUUUGUUGUCUUGUGCAUACUCAGUUGUCCACAACUGUACCUUUUAGUUCAAGACUCCUGCAAUUACUGAAGCAGAAGUGACUGACCACCUUAAAGCCUUUCUCUUGGGACUCUGGAUGUGUGUAGUAUUGGUUGUCCACUGUCCUUUGAGUUAACUUGGGUCCCUGAGUCUUUUCACAGCCUCUAAGCUUUACUUCAUGGGGUACUUACUGUCCAUUUAAGGCCCCUUUCUCAAACUGUUAAUGUGCAUAAUGACAAUUACAUUGGGAUUCUUCCCCUUUACACUCCCUUUGAAGUACUGCAGGGAAUUCUGACCCAUAAGGUUCUGUUUCAUGGCCUGUUAAGAUGCAUGUUAUAUUUAUCUGGGUUCUUAUGUACUAGAGAAGAAAACCUCUCUCCACUCCCUGUAUCUUCAAGCAGGGAGUGCCCACUGUACAAGACCGUGCCCUGUACAAGACUGUUGAGCAGUCAAGGAAGACAAUUGUAAUUGACCACAGCCAUGCACCAUGGACAUUAAUGUGCAUAAUUGCACAGGCUCAUCCUGUUUGAAUAAGAUACUACCUUCUCAGACCCCAGAAGGGGUACUGAUCAUUAAGACCUUUUUUUCAUGCCUUGUGAUUAUGCAUAAUUGCAUUUGUACAUUUUUCUGUACACCAAAUAAGGACACCCCUCUCCCCACUCCCUUUAUCUUUAGCAAGGAGUGCCCAUUAUUUUAAGAUCCUUGUAUCUGUACAAGAUACAUGGUUUAGUUGAUCAUACCAUGUCUGUUGGACAUUAAUGUACAUAAUUGCAACUUAGUUCAUCCUACUCUGUUGUAUGUCAUUUGCUGUAUGCUAGGGUUGCUGAUCCCUAACUUAUCCUGUUAAUGUGCAUAAUUGCAUUAGUCUGGGUUCUUGUGCACUAGAUGAGGACAUCCUCCACCCCUACUUCUAUGCCUUCCAGUAGGUGGUGCCCACUGCUGUGACAUUUACACUUGGAUGGUUAAUGUGCAGAAUUGUAGUUUCCACAACCCUAUCACUUUCAAAACUAACGUAUCUGCUUUGCACUGCUGCAGGGGAUACUGUUUUCUCCCCAAGUUCCUUCUAGUAAACCAUUAAUAUUCAUAAUUGAAAUAGUUAUACACCCUCAGCUUCCCUUUGCAGUACAGCAGUGUGUACUGAUCAACCAAGGCCCUCUUUUGGAGUGGUAAUAUGUGCAAUUGCAUUUUUUCCUAUUUUGUGCACUCAGUAAGGAUCCUGCCUACUUCCUUACCAGGUUCAGCAGGUAGUGUCCACUACUUAAGACUCUUUCACUUGAAAAGUUCAUGUGUAUAAAUGCAGUUUGCUAAGUGUGUCUUAUACUAGAACCCCUCUUUGCUUUGGAGUAAGAUGUUAUUUACCUAAUGCCCUUUCUUUUAGACUCUAAUGUGCAUAAUUGCAAUUGUCCAUCUUUUCUGUUGGACUAGGGUUGCAUUCCCUCAAACCCCCUUUGUAUCAGGGGUGUGUUAACCAUAAAUGAGCUCUUCUCUUGAGAUUAUAAUUGUACAGACUUGUAUGUGUCUGUGGAUUUGUGUAGUGUGAAAGGAUGCCCUAUGCAUUUACCACUAUCUUUGGAUUGCUGCUGAGGAGUGCUAUCAUGACCUCAGCUCUUGGACAAUUAAUGUGCACCACUAGCAAUGAUGGGACCUCUGUACCCGCUUUGUAUACAUCAGGGGUACUAAGGCCCCUUUCUUGGACUGUCAAUGUGCAAUUGUCUAUGUUCCCUUCUGUUAGAUUUAGGAUAACAUUCCCUUAAACCCCCUUUGCAUUAAUGCAGGGGUUGCUGACCACACAAAACUCUAUUAGUUUAGAGUUAUUAAACUAUUAGUGGGCACAGUGGCAAUUAGUGGGACUAUUAGUGGGCACAAUGGCAAUUAGCAAUGGGUUUUUCCUCCCUGGCCUUGUUAGGCAAACACUCCCAGCCCCAAUUUCCCUUGGCAUAAUAAAGUAUAAACAUGGCAGUAUGCUGUGAACUUGUCCAUCAAAUAGUACCCCAUACUCCCUCUCCUUUUGUAUUGCUUCUAUGUAUAAAAUUCCAAGUAGUCAUGAUCUUCUCCUUCCUUCCCUCUUCCCACCCCUUGCUCACCCUUGGACCCAUCCAAGGUGCAUAAGCACCAUUCUCACAAUUUCAGGUGUUCAUGUAUUGGGCCACUAAAUAAGAUUGUGUUCCUUUUUCCCUCCCAACGCCACCCUGCCCCUUUUGCAUUAUUGCUGGGGAAUGUUGACUGGGCAAGUCCCUUUCUCUUGGAUUUAAAACAUUAACAAUCCCAGAUGUCAUUGCAUUACUCACUUUGUAUUGCUGUAAUGCCUCAGUUGCACUAUCCUUGGUCCCUCCCAUCAGACAUGGACCCCUCCACUUCUUUGCAUUGCUUCUGAGUAAUGCUGAGUACCCAAAGUCUCUUCUGUGUUAUUAACACAGUACUGAUUGUCCCAUUUUUUUCAGGUCAUCAGCCCAAGAUUUUCCUACCAUUUUGAUGUGUUUGUGCAGUGUUGACUACCCAAAGCAGGCCUGAAUUAGGUGGAUGGACCUUCACGCCUUUGUCUGCAUUUGUUAAUAAUCCCAAUUCCAGUUGUUACAUUCUGGGAUAGGAACCAUCCCUGACCAUUUCUGUUACUGCUUCACUGAGCAAAAUGCUCAAGGCAAGUCAGGCCUAGAAAGCUGGAUUGCCACCUUUUAUUUUAGAUUUCCAGUAUAAGUAUCAGUUGAAAAUUGUCUCCCCAGGAAGAAAGAUUAGCAUUGUCUGUGUAUUCUUCCUUCCAGAGCAGAUUGCCUGGCCAAGAAUUUCACUUCUCCUCUUGUAUAUUGCUAUUGUACUGUGCCAGUUGCCAGCGUACAAUUAAAAAAAAAAAAUACUGUUUGCAAGGUGGAAUUGUAAACCUGGUCAUUGAAUUUUGAGGUCCAAAAACCCAUUUAUACCAUGUACCUGAUGACCAGUGUCUCUCAUUUUACUAAGGGUGCUGGGUCUGUGGAUAGACCACUGUGACUCUUGCUAUUUUGGUAUUCCCAAAAGACUUCUAGAGUGGAACUCUUAAGAGCAAUAUCUUUGGGUUCUACCACCAUUUUAAAACCCAUUAUUUAUUUGGGCUUUACCACUGUUCACUUUUAGAAAAACUACCUAAACAUUCUAAUCCUUAAAUUUCUUCAUCUGAAGCAUCUACCACCCCUUACUUAUUUCAAGAAGAUUGCUGUAAAAGAAUGAAAUGAGAGAACAUAUGCUGAGGCACUUUUGAAAACCAUAAUUCAUCUUACUUGAUUAAUCUAUUACAUAAAUAAAAUGCACACUAUUUAAAUCUGCUAAUUUAAACUAGCCUGAAGCACUACACUGAAGUGAGGGAUUAGAAAUGAUGGGUCCAAUUUCCCUAUUUUAGAUUGAAAAAUAAGCCAAGAUCUAAUCAUUCUUCUGGACAUGAAUUUCAACAGCUGCUUGGUAAAAUGAAUAAUAUCCUAGUCUCUAGUGUGCAGGGUGUGGCAGAUAAGUGUUUAAUAUGGAACUCCUGAAGCAAAUAACUAGUGGUCACAACAGCAGUUCUUUGUAAUCAUUGAAAAAGGAUACUAUUCCUCUGACAAGGAUGUCAAAAGAUCGGCCCAGCUCAGGGUGCAGUAUGCACUACUAGCUCCUUGGACAGCUGUAAGAAGAGUCUCUGGCUCUUUAGAAUACUGGAUCAAUUCUGAGCUGGUUCUAUACCCCCACUGAAGAGGAAGGAUGGAUCAAUUUUAAGUGGAUUGAAGCCUGCACUAGACAGCAUCCAAAGGAUAUCGGCCCUGGUUAGCAAAUGUACACCUGCAUGGGAGUUUGACUUGAAGUAAAUAAUUUAAAAAGUUAAUCUGUGGUGUCUGCUAAAAUAUUCUUAUUUGUGAAAGUGUUCUGGGAAUUUACCAUAUUAAAGAGAAGAAAAUUGAUAUCUGAACUGAGCUUUGGCCAGUGGGAGUUCUUUCAGUUGGUUCCUUGAAUAUAACCCCAUCCUUUUCCAAAAUGUAAUCACUUUCUCUGGCUUUAGCUUCCCUUUGAUGGAAAGGGAAUGCUUCUUGAACAUGUCAUCAGUGUAAAAACAAAACUAGAAGGCUUUGGUCUAAUGUAGCCAUACUCAGUAAAUAUGGUUCAGAGUGGAUCAGAAGAUCUGGAGAGAUUGGACUAGUCAUUUCCUUUUAGGUAUCUUAACUGGGUUUUGGUGUCUUCCUGAGUCCUGUCUUUCUUCUCAAGGACGUUCUGAGCAUGUGAAACCUGAGGACUGCAAGUAGCUCUAAGCAGCUUCACAUUCAGCAGAUCUUUCCUUUUGAGAAUCUGGAUAAACUCCAAAUAAUCUAAGAUGAUGGCUUGCAGGCCACCUGGAAAAAAAAAAAAAAGAUCUUCCUCUGAAGAAUAGGCUUGUUGCUCUACAGUGUUAGUGACCCAUUCCCUUUGACGAUCCCUAGGUGGAGAUGGGGCAUGAGGAUCCUCCAGGGGAAAAGCUCACUAUCACUGGGCAACAACCCUAGGCUAGGAGGCUUUACCAAGAUUCUUUCCUGAGCCCAGGUAGGAAGUCUCACAACAACUGCCACACAUCAGAGGUGGCUCCUGAUUGUUCCCUUCUUAUCUGCCAAAUCAUUGUAUCCCCAAAACAAUGCAGAGAGCAAGAAAUUUGAACACAUCAAAGGAAGAUCAACAUGCCUGGCAUGCUAACAUUUUAGAACAGCAGAAUGAAUGUGUAUUUCUUUGUCUAUUUUUUUUCUUGAAUCUCUUUGGUUUUCCUUCUCUGUCUAAAGUGUGUCUCAGCCAUUCCAUGAUUCUCUUGUUAGUUUCUUCUCUGUGUAUCUUUGUCUCAUUUUCUUGUUCCUAAGAGUUGUCUGUGCCUUGUCUUGGAUGUCUCUCUCCAGUUUUUUCAUUUUGUUAGUGAUUCUCUUUGUUCUCCUAGAUCUGGCUCUUCUUUCACUGUUCUUCCUUUUGUGUCUCUGUGUCACAUGAUGUGUGCUUUUUGUUCAUUUCUUGUUCUGCCUAUACCUCUCUUCUUGUUCUGUUGUGAACUCUGAUUUUUUGUUUUCCCUUACCCUUCUUAUUGGUUUCACAUUUCACCUUUUUCUCAUUCUGCCUUCCCUUCUACUUUUUCUACUCAUUAUCUCAAAUUUCUGUGUCUCUUGGGCCAUUUUCUCUCUAUUUUGUCCUGCUUUGUCUCAGUGUCUCUUUUGCUCUCUGUUUUUUUUCCUGCUCUGUCUCAGUGUCUCUUUUUCUCUGUUGUUUUUUUUUUUCUGCUCUGUCUCAGUGUCUCCUUGCUCUUGGUGAUUUUUCCAUUUCAGCAUUCAUCUCUGUUCUCUUGUUUCUUCUCUGCUUUUCCCCUUCUACUCACCUUUGAGUAUUUCAGCCUGUUUGUGAGUCUGUGAUUCCCCCUCUUUGACUUUAUGCAGUCCUCUAUCCUUGAAUAUUUUUGUGCAUUUGUAUGAUCAUGUGUGUGUCUUUGUGACAAAGGGGCUUCCUAACCCCUUCCCAAUAGGUACAGUGUGUCAACUAUCAAAAUACACAUUGCAGAGCUGUUCGUUAUGCCAGGACACCCUGUGAGAUGACCCAAGACCUAUGAUGGACAGAAAGUGGAAGGCCCAUAAUGGAGAGAAGGCCCAAAGUAAAAGACAGAUGGUUUGAGACUUGAGACCUAAAGACAAAAAUGGAAAACCUGUCUCAAGAUAGGUGGAAACUUCAGGCUUGAGACCAUCUAAAGUCCUGACAACCAUGAUGUAAAAAGGUGGCCCUUGUUGGAUAGAAGACCUGACUGAGUUGGAUGGAAAGUUCAAGACUUGAGUUAGAUAGAAGUCCAAAGACCCAGAGUAGGAGACUGAAGGCCUAAGAAUGGGGACCCAUCGAAAGCCUGAGACAUAAGACACCAUGUCUAAGACCUGAGAUAAAAACUUUAGCUUGAAGAUCUAAGAUCCAAGGAUGGAAGGCCCCAGACACACAUAAAGACCCAGGACUCCAGCCUCUAGAUGGACAGAAGGUCAAAGAGAGAAAUCUAUCUCAAGGCUAAAUUAGGUGGGAAGCUAGAAGCCCAUGACACAGAAUCCAAGAAGGAUAGAAGCCCCAAGACCAAAGGAAAUCCCAAGAUGAGAACGCUAAACCCCAGCUUUUUUCUAUUGCCAUCCUUCCUACUCUUGGACAUUUUCAGUUCUCCCUUGACAGUUCUUAUGUUUCCAUUUAAACCCACUUUUUUGAGAUGCCCUUUUAGAUGUUGCCAUUACCUUAAGGAAACAUAUCUUUACAUUGGCAAUAUUAUGCUUGGUCCAGUCUUAAGCCAAUUUUUAUCACAGUUUUGGGCCAUUUAUUGUUUGUUUUUUAAAUUUCCAUUUGUCUUUGCCUCCAAUUCACAUGAGAGAGACAUAUAGGUAACAUUGUAUUUCAGUUGUCCCUUUUCUUUAGGAGCUAUAGGCUGAUGAGCAAAGGCAAGCAUCAGGCUGUUGUGGGAAAAAAGGUGCUAGGCUAUUUAGAGAAAAUGUGAAGAGAUGUUCCAGGCCAGUGAGAAGAAUUAGACAAGAAAUACCCAGAUGUGCCAGACUGUUGAAGCACUAGCCAGAAACACCUUACUUCUUUGAGCUUGGGUGAGCAGGAUUCCUGGGGUUUGGGAUUCCUAGUGAUGGUUAAAAAACAGAUGAUUGGUCCUGGGACAGAGUGAGGCCCCAAGGAGGCAGUUUGAACUCCCUGCUCAUAGUAGUGGCCUAAUAAUUUGGUAGACUGUGCCAGUACUGCUCCUGGGUUUAAUACCCACCUCAACGUUUAAAGGUGAGAGAACUUGGGAAUAUUUACUUAGCAGGUUUAAUCCUUUCCUUGAUUCCCCUCCAUGAGAGAAAAAAAUUUAAACAAUUGAGAAUAUAUGUGAAAGCAUUGUAAAGCAGAGAAAAAAGUGCAAGGCAUUCUCAUUAAUAGUAUAUCAGCAGCCAUGCACAGCUGACAUUUAAAGUGUACUGUCAGUUGUGAAGCAUUAUGUAAAUCAGGGGUCAUCACACCCUUUCUGUAAAGGGUCAUAUGGUAAAUAUUUUAGGUUUUGUGAGCCAUAUGGUCUCUGACACAUUUUUUAAAAUUAACCCUUUACAAAGAAAAACUACUGUUAGCAUGUGAACCAAGUAGAUUUGGUCUGUGGGCCAUACUACCAUCCCUGAUGUACAUACCAGGGACUGUGUGCUGAAUAAUACUUGUGUGUGCCUGUCCCUGAGCUAGACACUUAAGGAUGCAAUAAUUAUUUACUAUUACAUCCAGGUGACCUGAAGAAAAAUAUGUGAAUGUGCUUUGUAAACUGUAAAGCACUUAAAGAUUUAUGAGUUUCAGAGUUGAUGAAUGAAUAUUGACUACACAGUAUGUACAUUCUACUGUACAUUCUACUAGACACUGUGAAUACAAGGAUUAAAAGAAGCCUGAAUAAAGUACUUUGUCAGAAGUAUGUAAUACUAUGAAGAUAUUAGGAAUUGUUUGAUAAAUGAAUAAUUCAUAUAUUUGUGGCCAUCAUGUUUCCGCUGCUCUGGUAAUUUUAAGUAAAAGUACAGUAUUCCAGGUAGCAGAAAAGCAAACACAUGGAAGCUGCUUUUAAAGCAUAAAAUAUACUACAAACACAAGGGAUUAAGCUAUUGUGAAAACUUAUAACAUGUCACAUACCAUGCUAGGUGCUACAGAUGUCAAAGGGAAAACAGUGUCCUCAGUAGGGAAUUAAAAAUGUCAGAUUAUGAGGUGCAUAUUAAAGUACUUUGUAAACUAAAGUACUGUAUAGAUACCAGUGUGUUACAUGUUUAUGAAUAUUAUUUGCCUUUUAUGGGCCAGGUAUAUUUUGGGUACUCUGAAAUCUAAGAUAAUGCUUCCAAGUAAUAAGAGGGGGGCUUAUGUCCUAGACUAUUUAGAUGUAAAGAAUUGGAUAUUGCUUGUUUUAAUCAAUCAAGACUUUAAUGGUGAUGUCAAAUUAAAUUAUCACCAGUAUAUUUUACCAGGUAACAGGUAAAUGUAAUGAUUGAGAUUGCACUUGCACUUUCUAAAGUGCUAUAUAAAUACAAGACAUUAGCUGUUUUCUGUGUGAAUAAAACUUUCUGUGAGAUAGACAUUGUCUCCAGAAAAUUCUCAUUGUGUUCCUGACAUCCACUAUGACAAAGGUAAUAUAAAUAGUUAUAGAAACUGAGGGUUUAAAUACUUGUUGAAUGAAUGAAUGAAUAUCAGUUACUUACUAUGUGGACUCACUAUUAUAGGCACUAAAGAGGUACAAAGAUUUAUCAUUUCAUUGUGCUUACAGCUGAGAAUAAGCCGAUACAUGUGUCAGCAUUUUGGGAACUCUAAAGCAUCAUAUAAGUGUAACUACUGAUUUUCUGAUUUGGUGCUGAGUACUGGGCUUAUAAAAUUAUAUCACACUUAUUAUACUAUGAAAAAAGUUGGAAAAAUCUGAGGAAGAGUUCUUAACUAUUAAACACUCUGAAUAUGCAAAGGAUUAAAUAUCUGGUAAAUGCAAAACUGGUUAAUAAUUGUCUAUUACAUGCCAGUCUCCUUGCUAGGCAUUAAGGAUGUGAAGAUAAACCAUCUUUAUUGUGUCCUGGGUAGCAGCAGAUAAUGUAUAAAAUCAAUUUAUAAGUCUUAAACUGCCAUAUAUGUAUAAGCAAUAUCUGCUGAAUUAACAUUGAUUAUUUACUCUGUCUUAUCUGUGGAGACAACAAACGGGGAUGCAGAAAUUAUCAUUAUUAUUGAACUUACAACAUAGAUCUGUGUAAAUUUACAAGCCUGCUGUUCUAUACAGAUAUAAGGAAAUAACUUGGCUUAAUGAAUGAUUACUUUCUAUGAGGCUUACAACUAUCCCAUGCCUUAGGAUAUAAAAAUGAUUUUAUUCUUAUGAGGUGUUCAUAGGAAGAAAUAAGGAAAUCCAGUGAGAAAUAAGGAAAUAAGUGAGAUCCAGACUAAAAGUUAAGCACUACUAAGCUUAUUUAAUAAAAACAUGGGAAAAAUGGAAUUGUGCCAGGAAGUAUGCUAAAUGCUGAACUCUGUGGAAAGACAAUAUCUGAAUCAGAGGGUGUCCUUCCUCUCUAGCUAGACUGAAGAGAUGGGAAAUGUUUUUAAAAAAGAUGUUAUAGUUCUUUAUCAGUCUUUAAAAUGUUGAAUGCUGAAGGUGGAGGUGAAUGAGAUCCACCCUGCCUGGCUUAAAAUUAAAUGGCUCAGGUUUGGUUUUAGAUUCAUAUAAUAAACCUAGAGCAUCUUUUAUGUGGAAUACAUCAUUCUAGGUCCUAAGAGAAGUGAAAUGGCUAAGACAAAAGGGCAUCAGAAUACAGAUUAUAGAUGAAGAUAAGAAAACAUCAUUGAUUUUUAAGUAGAUAUUUGAGUGCCUGUUUUCUGGACAGUAUUAUGCUAGAUAAAUUAGUUGAGUUGGCCUGGUCCAGAAAACUUAUCGACAUGCCUUAGAGAUUAAAAAAAAAUAGAAAAAUAAGGCAUGAUUCUUUUAAUGUUAAAUGAAGACUUUUUUCCUAAUUCUUUCUAAUUUUCACUUGCUCAUUGACCUAGUUUGAAGCCAGAAGACUGAUAAUAAGGGAGCUUAGGGUUUGUCCUUUAAUUCAUUACUUUAACAUUCUGUUUUGAUUAUAGAUGGAUGGUUUAAGAUGAGAAUUAAGAUAAAACAACUGGUUUUAAAAAUAUUUGCUUAUUGGCCUGGCAUAGAGUCAGGAAGCCACUUGAGCAGUAAAGAUUUUUUUCUAGAUUUUCUGUAUUUUGUAAAAAUUUAUUUACCCUGUAUAAUGUUCUCAAAUGCAGAGAAUGAAGAGACUUAAAGGACCUAUACCAAAAUGUACUUUAAUCUCACUAGUUUAUGGUGGAAACAUAGGAACUAAUUUAAUAAGAGACUGCAGUUCUUUCAGUUUAUUGAGCCGCUGUGAUAGUAAGACACUGAGAACAAAUGAUCACCUUCUCCUUGGCAUGUUUUAUAGAGUGGGAAUAAGAGAGAACUUUUCAUUUAUACAAACUUUGAGGAAGGUGAUGUUAAAUUGGAACAGAUCUGGUAAGAAAGGCACUUAUUUUGUCUUGGAGAUGCAAUAGGACAAAACAAAAACAAACUAACAAAACAAAAAGGAAUGAAAUUCUUCUUUAAAUGGAAGUGUCUAUUUCAAGGCAUUGUGUUAAUUGCUAGACAGAAAACAAAAAAGAUCUUGACUGAAAGAUACUUUUUAGUUAGCUUUGAGACUAGAAUAUAAGAGAUUACUGUUCUUCAUUUAUUCAUUCUACAAGUACAUUUGAAUGCCUAUUAUGUAUAAAGCUCUUUGCUAUGUUCCCAGAUAGCCCGAGAGACAUGAAAAAAACAAAAGAAAAACAAAAAAUAAAUGCUUUCCUAGAGAACUUUUAAAGCUUUUCUUUUGGCCUGUUUUCUGGUUAGGGGCAUGGCAUAGUCCGCAAAUAAUGUUGUGGGUUUUAAUUGCUGUUCCAUGUAUCUUCUACCACUCUGGCCACUACAAUAAGCAGGGUUUUCUAUUGAGCUUGCUCUUUAAGUUGCAGGAACUUUCUUUAUAAUAGGCACUUUAUUUUUCCUGGCCCAUCCCUAAUGAAAAAUGACUGUGACCGCUGCUGGACAGAAGGAGGGAUGACAAACAACUAAUUCCCAAAUUCCAGCUUCAUUGGUACCAGCAUUGGGGAAACACUUAUACUCUAGCGACAAUUGGUUUUAAAAUGCAUUUACCAGUUUUGUCUGUUUUUAAUUGUUUACAUUUUUACAUUCUGACAAAUAUGUGCUGCCUAAAUAGAUCUCUUUGAAAUACAUAACAUAAUUGGAGAUGGAGACAUGAUUUCUCUUUUGCAAUAGUAUCUCAACUUAACCUUUAGAAAUCUCACCAUCAAAACAUGUUCAAGAAAGGACUUCUUAAUAGUGGAAUAAUAUCAGUUAAUUAAAAUAGCUUAACAAUUUUACCAUGUUUAAAAUUUCAGAAUAAUAGAAAUUGGAAGUAAUUGGCAAAAAUUGGAGGGAAUCAACAACAAUCCUCAAUCUAGGCCCAACUGGGUUUUGACCUUUUCUAUUUUUAAAUCACUCACAGAGGGUGGGAUAGGAGGAAGAGUGAAAGAAAAGGUCAAACCAGUUUCUAAGGGCAGCCUGCCUGUGUUUGGUAUUGGUUUUAAGAACAUUACUACCUCCAAGUCUAACUAGGGGAUUGCUUUUUUUAGUUUAAUGCAAUUCCGAUCAGUAGUCCUUACUGAGAUGAAGACAUGGUACUUUGUCCCCCACUAAUUUCUGUAAGUCUUUGAGAAACAAUUUUGAGCUAGUUAUCAACUAAACCUUGAGUUAGAUAAUUAUGGGAUUUGUUAAUUAAAUCAAUGUAACCUCCAUCAGAAGGUAGUUUUAAAGUCAACAUUCACUGCAAAAGAGGAGGACUUUAUUGUUCACAGUAAUUUAUAUAACUUUUAGUUUACAUCUGUAAAUGAAGAAGGAAAUAGGUGAAUGGCAAAAGAUAAUUGGUGGAGGGAACAAAGUUGAAGACAAAUUGGGUGUGAUGUUUCUAGUUUUCACUUUGUACAUUUUUAUUUAGGCAUCAGAUAUAUCUGAAAUACUGUUUGGCCUUUAAUACUGUGGUAUCAGAUGGAUUCUGUAACACCCAUAUUUUCAAGUUGGGGUCGGGGAGUACAUUAUUGGAAAUUAGACAGGAGAAAGUAACUAAAAGCCUUCCUUUCACAGUUCCUGACAUCCUAAGACUACUGCUAUUGAUAAGAAUAAGAACAUACUAUCAUCUGAAUUUUUAUGGCAUAAAUGAAAUUAUGAACAAAUACAUUUUUAAAGGAAAUGGCUUCAUCUCUACCCUUCUGCCUAAAAGGGAAUCUAUGCCAAAUGUUCCAAUAAAUGGGAAGAUACACUUUGACUUGUGAACUGAUGUGAAAAUGCAGAAUCUUUGAUUUUUGAGUGUUUUGAAGAUUGAAAAAUCUUGCUCAGCAUGGGUGACUACCAAAAGCAAUCUAAAGCUAUCGACAUGUCACAACUGAGACAAAUUGGGGAAUGUGUUGUCUAAUGUGAAAUAAAAUGUACUGUUUUGAAAA